Molecule: small RNA, 474 nt
Filed under: Pongo abelii (Sumatran orangutan)
Lineage: Eukaryota; Metazoa; Chordata; Mammalia; Primates; Hominidae
Description: processed transcript
Source: RNAcentral
GAACCCAGAGCGAGGCGGCCCCUCCCGGGCCCCGGCUUCACCCCUGCGCCCGCCUCGGGUCCUCCGGGUUCCCGGUGCGGAGGCUGCGGGCCCCGGGCAGGCGCGAGGAGGCGGCGAAGGCGCAGGGAAGGGGCCCGGCCCGCGGGAAGGAACCGCAGCGACAGCCGCCAGGAGCCCGGGACGGAGCCGGGGACGGAGCAGCAGGAACCAGACCAGUCACUUCUAAAGGCCCUCAGAACGACCAACAGCUGAAACCUGUGGGGCGGACUCCGUGUUGAACUGCGGACAGCGGCAACCACAGCAGGGACACGGACCGGUGCUUCCACCAAGAACAGAUUCCGCAGAGGACAGCAGUCACUUGCAGUGGUAGUAUUUAUACCAAACAAACGCCCAGCUAAUGCCUUCACCCGGUCCAGGAACUCUGUAGUGUUCUAAAGUAAAAUCAAUAAAACAUACAUUUGUGUUUCAUCAACA